CGAGUUUCCCCCACUAGGUUAAUAGAAUUCCACCCAGAGGCAGACAGUUAGCAAACCACCUUCUCGGGCUGUGGCUGGGAAUCGCGCUACACUUGACAGCCCUUUCCAUGGGCCUCCCCGGCCCGCCUGCCCUCGGCCCCGAAGUCAGGGGAGACAGGGGCCAUUUCAGCUGCUCGCGCUCGCUUGCCUUCCCGUCCCUGCCGGAGUCAGCAGACCCUGACUUCUGGAGAAGCGUUGCUGCGAUGUGUCAGCUGCUCGGGGAGAGGCUGGAGUGAUGGAUUCCAAGAGCUGUCAGGAGAAAGGGUUUACGACUAUGAGCAAUCUGAUGCUAGUCCCGAUGUCUUGGUUAUCUCUUGUGUAUCCAGCACCCAAGGGAAGGAGCAUCCCAUGGCUACAACUCUCAAGCAUCGAAAUGGAACCUGUGAGAGUUCUUCACCCCACAGGGAACUCCUUCCACCAAACUUAGGGGAGCGAGAAAGGGGUUGUAAGGACUUGCCUUUGUAUCUCCCCAGCCCCUGCACAGGGCUGGAUUUGCAUAUGUUAAUAUGGAGAACUGCAACUAUUUAAUGAGAAGCAGUGGGCCACGUGGGUGAGCAGAAUUCCUUAGAGUAUUUUUUUCAGAUGUCUUAAUUCACUCUCUCUUUGUUGUAUUUCAGCAGAUCCAGGUAUUUGCACUGAGUUGGUCCUGGUCCCCACUCCUGUCCCCCAAAUCUCUGAAACCACAGAUCUCAUUAGAUGCCAGGCUCAGCCUUGUGUUUGGAGGGUGAUGGUGGGCGGAGUGCUCUGCCUACCUGGAAGCAAUGCCAGGAUGGCUGGAGGUAGCCUACUCCAGGCCAAGGAGCCCCAGCCCAGAGGUUGGGCGGGGACGUGCCUGAGGGGGGUGGGGAGGAAAGGAUAGAAUUCCAAAGAGGAGAACCCUAGAUGGAGAGAGCCCUCUGGGCUUUCAGCCCUUCAUCUGGGUUCCACUAAAAACACAUUUUGCGUGUUUCUGUUGUUCUUAAGUCUGGGUUUAUUUCAAGGGGAAAGUUAUAAAGAGACAUCUCUCCCUUUAUUUCAACAGCAGCUUGUGCUUGGGUAGAUUCUCAUUUGUCUUGUCUGUCCUGCCUGGAGGUAAAAGGAGUAGGUUGGGGUGGGGGUCCCAAGAGGCCCCAGGAGACCAAGGCCUCAGGCUGUGCUUGCCUCCAGUGUGUUAGACCAGUAGGUCUGUCACAGGUUCUGACCUUCCAGCUGAUAGCAACACACACCGCCAGAUGAGAGACUUGGGGGGUUGAGAAUGAAAGGAAGGGACUUGGGGAAGCACAGAACAAGGAGAGGCCUGGUGAGGUGGCCCCACCUGGGAAACAUCCACAGACAGACAGGCAAGUGACCAUCCCCAUGGCUGUUUGAGAGCCUUCCUCUCUGAACCCAGGGCAGCAUCUGUCAGGUAGCCACCCAAGUGAGGCAGGGUUUUGCCCAGGUCGGAAGCCAGAGGUAGCAUCCAGUCUCCCUAAGAAUUCAGGUCCCAAUCCAGUCUGAGAAUCCCGAAGAGGACCCAGAGCCCUUGAAUCAGUCCAUACCUCAGAGACACAAAGAAGAAAUGUCAGCGCUUGAAAGGCCCUUAGCCGUGUAACCCACUGCCCUCAUUUCACAGAUGAGGAAACAGGCCCAGGGAGGGAAAGCUCCUUGCCUAGGGCACACAGUGGGUCAGCGAUGGGCUGGUCCUGCAGCCCGGGCCUCAGUGUUCUCUGCACUUUUCUACUUUUCCACCCUGCUGCUUACAAGGUUCAUCCUCCCAGUAGCGCCAUGAAGUGUGUAUAAUUGUCCCCAUUUUACAAAGGAGGACACUGAGGCUUGGAGGAGGUAAGUGAUUUGCUCCAUGUCACUGUCUGGUAUUUGAUGACUAUAAUUCCCAAACUACUCCCAACUGAAUCAGACUCCCACGGGGAGGCGGGUGCACCAGGCGAGGGUUACAGAUGGAGGUCGACUGCCUCUGCCACAGGAGAGUUGGCAAGUUGGGGGUUUGGAUGGAUAAGCAGCUCUCUCCCAUCUCCCAGACAGUGGAGCACAGUUGAGCUCUGGAAGCAGCACAGUGAUGCGUGGUGAGCCUCAGCCGGCGCAAAUGCAAGCUGGAGGGUCCUGGGUUCAGUGGCUAUGUCACAGCCUCAUCACAGACCUGAAAAUGGUGGGCAUGAGAGGCAGACGUGUAAUUUCCUCUUUACUACCGCCAGUCAUGUGAUUACAGCCGAGCUCAGGAGGGCCGGGUGAGCAUUGCAGAAAGGCUGUAGCUAGAUAGGAUCCCUAGAGCCAGAGCAGGGUUGGGGAGUGCAACUCUAGGAAAAGCUUCAUUUUCCACACCCACUCCACUCCCAAACAUAAGCUGAAGGUCCCAGUGAACUCCGUUAAAGAAGAAUGAAAAGUCUGAUGCAGCUAUUUAAAAACAGGCAGGCGUCAAGUGGCCAAUGGCAGUCGAGUGCAGCCGGGGCAGCGCUCGGGAAAAUCAUCCACCACCGUCAGCCCUGGAGAGGCAGACCUGGGGUUCCCCGCAGAAGCGGGUGCGGGUCCAUGUAGGCUACCCCGUCAUCUUUGUGCCACGGAGCUAGUUCAUCACGGGGCCUUGCUGAUUCCUUCCCCAGCACGCCUCAACAAUCCCGCUGCUCUCCUGAGACCCAAGCCCUUUCACUCUUUGCUUAGAAGUCCAGCUUUGUUUCCAAACUGUUUUCCCUUUCUCUUCUCCCUACAGCCUCCCUUGACAGGGCAGCUUUAGUGUCCGUGCUUCCCAGAACCAGUGCUGCAUGCUCACCUGCUGGACUCCCCCAGGAUGUAUAGACAUCUCAUAAGAGUGGGGGCUGCCUCUGGGAAGGGACUGGAAAAAGGCUAAGGGGAAGGAGCUCGGGGGCUGGCAAGCCCGGAUGCGACAAAGCACCGAGGUGGGCUUGAAUAUGGAUUUUUCUCCCCAGAACAUCCCUGGGAAUCAUUUCUGUCAGAUGCUUCACUGGAUGUCCCUUGGUCUUUACAGCCAUCUAUCCUCCUUCUCCAACCCCCACCUCGAAUUGCAACUUGCUAUUUUAAUUAUAGUUUCUCUUGCCACAC
This 3069-nucleotide long non-coding RNA is filed under the name Homo sapiens (human). Its description in RNAcentral is "HSALNT0065599". The record is from RNAcentral. Lineage: Eukaryota; Metazoa; Chordata; Mammalia; Primates; Hominidae.